Molecule: ribosomal RNA, 301 nt
Filed under: uncultured Flavisolibacter sp.
Lineage: Bacteria; Pseudomonadati; Bacteroidota; Chitinophagia; Chitinophagales; Chitinophagaceae
Description: bacterial SSU rRNA
Rfam family: Bacterial small subunit ribosomal RNA
Source: RNAcentral
UGAGCUAGCCGGUGCCUCAGUCGCGGUAAUUACAGGUGGGCAGGAGUUCAGCGGAAUUGCUGAGCGUAAAGCGAGCGUUGGGGGUUGGUUACGUUGGAUGUGAAAUCCCCGGGCUCAACCUGGGAACUGCAUCCAAAACUAGCGAGCUAGAGUAGGUCAGAGGGUGGUGGAAUUUCCUGUGUAGCGGUGAAAUGCGUAGAUAUAGAAAGGAACACCAGUGGCGAAGGCGACCACCUGGGCUCAUACUGACACUGAGGUGCGAAAGCGUGGGGAGCAAACAGGAUUAGAUACUCGGGUAGUC